GACGAACGCUGGCGGCGUGCUUAACACAUGCAAGUCGAACGGAAAGGCCCUGCCAAUGUGGGGUGCUCGAGUGGCGAACGGGUGAGUAACACGUGUGUAACCUGCCCUUGACUUUGGUAUAACCUCAGGAAACUGGGGCUUAUACCGCAUAGGAGCUCCUGCUGCAUGGUGGGGGUCGGAAAGUCCCCGCGGUUGGGGCGGGACUCGCGGCUUGUAAGCGUGCGGGUGGGGUAGUGGCUUACCAGGGAUUUGACGGAUGGCCGGCCUGAGAGGGUGACCGGCCACAUUGGGAGUGAGAUACGGCCGAGACUCCUGCGGGAGGCAGCAGUGGGGAAUAUUGCACAAUGGGCGGAAGCCUGAGGCCGCAGCGGCGCGUGCGAGAUAAGGGCCUGCGGGUUAAAGCCCGCUUGCGCCUGAGACGGAGGGUGAGUGACGGUAAUGGGUGAAGAAGCACCGGCUAACUACGUG
This 468-nucleotide ribosomal RNA is filed under the name uncultured bacterium. RNAcentral's name for it is "partial 16S ribosomal RNA". It matches the Rfam family "Bacterial small subunit ribosomal RNA", at positions 28 to 507 of the family's 1533-position model. The record is from RNAcentral.